Long non-coding RNA from Maniola jurtina (meadow brown), 135 nucleotides. RefSeq lists it as uncharacterized. The record is from RefSeq and is a predicted model, not a curated record. The transcript has 3 exons. NCBI's taxonomy places the organism in Eukaryota, Metazoa, Arthropoda, Insecta, Lepidoptera, Nymphalidae.
AGGAUACUCAUUAGCUUCAAUGGUAGAUUGACAACUAGUGAAAUCAGUAUUUUUAUCAAACGUCAAAACAUGCGCUUACUAUGCUAGCUUCUAUGAAAUACUGGCAUGUGACGUCACAAUGAUUUGACGUGUUUU